This is a long non-coding RNA of Drosophila teissieri, 326 nucleotides long. RefSeq lists it as uncharacterized. The transcript is spliced from 2 exons. NCBI's taxonomy places the organism in Eukaryota, Metazoa, Arthropoda, Insecta, Diptera, Drosophilidae. The record is from RefSeq and is a predicted model, not a curated record.
UUGCCACAGUCGGGGCCACCUGGCCAAAGAGUGCCGCAAGCCUAAGAGACAAGAUGGGGCUUGUUACGCAUGUGGCUUGCAAGGACAUGUGGCUAAGGAGUGCAACCAAUACAAGAAGUCGAAGGGCGGGGACAACGAUUAUAAUGUCUCAUAGAUUCUGGCAGCCCGAUAAGUAUUAUUAAAAAACGUUUUAUACCAAGUCAAAUAAAAAUGGAAAAGACUACCUCUUUAAGUUACGUUGGAUUAAAUUUAAGUAAAUUACAAAUACAUGGAAGCGUAAAAUGUUCAGUUAAAUUCUCAAAUAAAGAUACUCCUAUGUUAUUAUA